GUGCACCAGGCGAGAAAACUUUACAAUGUGCGAAAGCACGAUAAGGGAACUCUGAGUGCCUCCUAAGGAGGUUGUUCUGAUGUCUAAAAAGCAACAGAAGUAAGGGCUGGGUAAGACCGGUGCCAGCCGCCGCGGUAACACCGGCAGCCCAAGUGGUAGCCACGUUUAUUGGGUCUAAAGCGUUCGUAGCCGGCCAGGUAAGUUCCUUGGUAAAUUUAGCCGCUUAACGGUUAAGCUUUCGGGGAAUACUGCUUGGCUUGGGACUGGGAGAGGUCAGAGGUACUCCGGGGGUAGGGGUGAAAUCUAUUAAUCCCUGGGGACCACCGGUAGCGAAGGCGUCUGACCAGACCAGGUCCGACGGUGAGGGACGAAGGCUAGGGGCGCGAACCGGAUUAGAUACCCCCGUAGU
RNAcentral lists this ribosomal RNA (409 nucleotides) under uncultured microorganism. Its description in RNAcentral is "bacterial SSU rRNA". It matches the Rfam family "Archaeal small subunit ribosomal RNA", at positions 330 to 745 of the family's 1478-position model. The record is from RNAcentral.